This 845-nucleotide ribosomal RNA is filed under the name uncultured bacterium. RNAcentral's name for it is "bacterial SSU rRNA". It matches the Rfam family "Bacterial small subunit ribosomal RNA", at positions 533 to 1378 of the family's 1533-position model. The record is from RNAcentral.
ACCUAGCGUAGUUCGGAAUUACUGGGCUUAAAGAGCUCGUAGGUGGUUAAGAAAGUUGGUGGUGAAAUCCCAAGGCUUAACCUUGGAACUGCCACCAAAACUUUUUGACUAGAGUAUGAUAGAGGUAAGUGGAAUUUCUAGUGUAGAGGUGAAAUUCGUAGAUAUUAGAAAGAACACCAAUUGCGAAGGCAGCUUUCUGGAUCAUUACUGACACUGAGGAGCGAAAGCAUGGGUAGCGAAGAGGAUUAGAUACCCUCGUAGUCCAUGCCGUAAACGAUGUGUGCUAGACGUUGGAAACUUAGUUUUCAGUGUCGCAGCAAAAGCGUUAAGCACACCGCCUGGGGAGUACGACCGUAAGGUUAAAACUCAAAUGAAUUGACGGGGACCCGCACAAGCAGUGGAGCAUGUGGUUUAAUUCGAAGAUACGCGCAGAACCUUACCAACACUUGACAUGUUCGUCGCGAACCCAAGAGAUUGGGUUCUUCAGUUUGGCUGGACGAAACACAGGUGCUGCAUGGCUGUCGUCAGCUCGUGUCGUGAGAUGUUGGGUUAAGUCCCGCAACGAGCGCAACCCUUACUUUUAGUUGCCAUCAUUCAGUUGGGCACUCUAAAAGAACUGCCAGUGAUAAGCUGGAGGAAGGUGGGGAUGACGUCAAGUCCUCAUGGCCCUUACGUGUUGGGCUACACACGUGCUACAAUGGUAUUUACAAUGGGAUGCUAAGAGGCGACUCCAAGCAAAUCCCAAAAAGGUACCUCAGUUCGGAUUGUACUCUGCAACUCGAGUACAUGAAGCUGGAAUUGCUAGUAAUCGCGGAUCAGCGCGCCGCGGUGAAUACGUUCCCGGG